This 494-nucleotide ribosomal RNA is filed under the name uncultured bacterium. RNAcentral describes it as "bacterial SSU rRNA". It matches the Rfam family "Bacterial small subunit ribosomal RNA", at positions 30 to 507 of the family's 1533-position model. The record is from RNAcentral.
AUGAACGCUAGCGGCAGGCUUAAUACAUGCAAGUUGAGGGGCAGCAUGAUAUACGCGAGUAUAUUGAUGGCGACCGGCGGACGGGUGAGUAAUAGGUAGGAGACCUACCUCAUACAGGGGGAUAGCAUAGAGAAAUCUGUGGUAAUACCCCAUGAGGUUAUAUGAAUAGAGGCAUAUAAUCAAAGCAUAAGCGAUUAUGCGGUAUGAGAGGGGCCUACUGACCAUUAGCUAGUUGGUGAGGUAAGGGCUCACCAAGGCGAAGAUGGUUAGGGGUUUUGAGAGAGAGACCCCCCACAUUGGAACUGAGAGACGGUCCAGACUCCUACGGGAGGCAGCAGUAGGGAAUAUUGGGCAAUGGGCGAAAGCCUGACCCAGCCAUGCCGCGUAAAGGAAGACGGCCUUAUGGGUUGUAAACUUCUUUACUACGCGAAUAGAGGUUAGUACGAGAUACUAAUAGGAAGGUAGUAUAGUAAAAAGCACCGGCUAACUCCGUG